UGGGUAACAAUAAUGCUGGAAACAUGGCUUUCAUGUUAGGGAAGCAGCUUACAAGCUGUGUUUCUUCGCAUCACGGAAGAGGCGAUAUAUUGUUGAUACCCUUUACUGUCACUACUUACUGAGAACCUUGCAUUGCUGAAUUAAAGAUGACACUUCUAGUUCAAUCACAAACAAUUUGGCAUGAACCAUGCUACCACCCUAUGGCGUUAAGAGCAGCUGACCAACUUGGUUCGCAUGAGCGAAGGAUAGCUCUGGUAAGUUUGUUCAGUCAUUUAUGGAAGCUGAGAACUUUUUAACCCAGAGCACAAGCAAACUUCGAUUCUGUUGAUUUGAUUUGAGGUCUUUUCAUGUGUUCCC
Molecule: long non-coding RNA, 357 nt
Organism: Setaria italica (foxtail millet)
Lineage: Eukaryota; Viridiplantae; Streptophyta; Magnoliopsida; Poales; Poaceae
Exons: 3
Source: RefSeq, a predicted model, not a curated record